UAGAAUACGCUUAGCCUAAAGAUUAAGCCAUGCAUGUGUCGUGUAAACUUUUAUACGGUGGGACUGCGAAUGGCUCAUUAAAUCAGUUAUAGUUUAUUUGAUUGUAUAUUUUUUUACUACUUGGAUAACUGUAGUAAUUCUAGAGCUAAUACAUGCGAAAAAACCCAACUUUUGUGGGAGGGUUGUAUUUAUUAGAUGAAAAACCAAUACUGGGCAACCAGUUAAAACCUAUGGUGAUUCAUAAUAACUUCUCGAAUCAUAUGGCCUUGUGCCGAUG
Molecule: ribosomal RNA, 277 nt
Filed under: uncultured eukaryote
Lineage: Eukaryota
Description: partial 18S ribosomal RNA
Rfam family: Eukaryotic small subunit ribosomal RNA
Source: RNAcentral